UAGAAUCAUUAAUAUUAAAUAAUAAUAUCUACUAAAUCGAUAAUCGAAAAAUGGGAUUCUGAAAUCACUAUUUUUGAUAUCACUAAAAAAUGGACAGUUACAAUUCUCCCUUGUAAUAGGUCCAUUUAGCCCGGGCCCAUUAGAAUAAAAAAAUAGAAAUUAAAAACCAAAAAUAAAAAAAACACACAAAUAAAAAAUCCAAAUUCCAGUGUCCGGUUACAAAUAUUUGGGCCAAAAAUAACCUAAACCUUAACCCCUUAAUACAGACCUAACCCAAUCACAUAGUCCAAGAGGGCUAUACUAAAAUCCCUAGCCCGAACAGCCCAAACUCAAAAGGAAUCCCAGCAACCAAGCACCAGAAGCUUCUGGAACAUGCUAGAACAGUGCUAGGGGGUCGGGUCUCACGAGCGGUUUCUUCGCACGGCUUCUUUCACGCGUGCCUCUCCCCGCUCCUCCGUACGGAUGAUCCUGUAAAGAAUACACGAGAAGGAAUAGACUAACAGAAUAUACAAAAUGACAGCAUGAAAUAUUUUUAUUUUUCGCUAUUUUAUUCUGUAAAUUUAGGCUAUAGAAAGCCCUCGUUUGUACCCUGUAUUUUUCUACGCACACUACGCAAAUCCAAUACUGAGAAUGAAAAAAAUUAGAAAGGCGAUUUAAGAUUUUUCUUCCGUCUUCAAUAUUUUUUUUCCUUUUUUGCAUAUAUCAUGUUUUUAGUUUUUUUUUUUUUAAAAAUCAAGAAAAGCGAGAAAGUUACCUUCGUUAAAUGUAUCGAUGAGAUCCCUUGGCUUCUCCGUUGAAAUCGGGGUUAGCAAUGCGAAUUAUCAAGUGAGAAUGGUCUUUGAAUGUUGAUUUCGGAGGAAGUAAAGGCUGCUUCUACAUCACUCACCAAUUUUAAUGGUGAACUGGUGAUGAACGGGCCUUAGCAAAUGGAGGCUGCUGGAAUGAACCCUAAAGAACUGAUUUUAGGGCAGUGACUUUUAGUUUAAUUGUUGGCUGUGUUUGGAAAAUAAAUGGGAAAAGAAAGGUUUUGAAUAACCUAUUAAACAAAGCGGCACCGUUUACACCCAUGGAGGUCCGCGCAUUGGCCCGAUAAAGGAGUUGGAUCAGCGCCCUUUUUGUUUGAAUGGGUAUAUUGCGCGCUGGAUCCCUCCUUUCGCGUGCCGCCUCCAAUUGUGCCCUAUGUGUCUUCUUUGUUUUUUGUUAAUUUGGCUCUAUAAAUUUUUG
Molecule: long non-coding RNA, 1224 nt
Filed under: Gossypium barbadense (sea-island cotton)
Lineage: Eukaryota; Viridiplantae; Streptophyta; Magnoliopsida; Malvales; Malvaceae
Description: long non-coding RNA (GBAR_LNC006659)
Source: RNAcentral